Molecule: long non-coding RNA, 681 nt
Organism: Salvelinus fontinalis (brook trout)
Lineage: Eukaryota; Metazoa; Chordata; Actinopteri; Salmoniformes; Salmonidae
Exons: 3
Source: RefSeq, a predicted model, not a curated record
GACAACAAUGGGCUAUUUGUUGAAAGGAUGGCGAAAAGUUGUGUGUUUCUAGGCUAGAGAUUAGUUGCACGGAGGAAGCAACGCGCAGUUUCUUAACGGCAUAGCCAUUUAGAGUGGCGACACGCAUCUCUGGGUGCCUGGCAAAUAUCUCAGCUUGGAUGUUGGCCCACCACCUCAAGCUCAACCUUGACAAGAUGCUCUUCCUCCCAGUAUCAGCUUGUGAGCCAGCCAACCAAGUGAACGUGAUCACCACGGAGGAGGCAGUUGAGGAGGGGCCGUGAUCACUGUGGAGGAGGGUCCUGAUCCCAAUCAGGGCAGGUAAGCCAGAAAGCUGAGUCCUUAGCAGAAAUAACACUGGGACUCCGUCAAUCUGCGACAGCAGUAAGCAUUAAUUCACAUAGACAGCAUUGCGGAUGCCAGCGUAAUUGUCAGGAAAAGCUAUUAUAAAGAGUUGUAUUCUCUUUUGAAAUUGGAGUUAGUAAGUUAAGAAAAUUAUAACAAUUUCUUGGUAACAUUUCCUGUCCACCAAUAGCCCACUCAAUCUCUACAACAGAUGUGCUUCCUUUGAACUACUUCGUUUGAACUCAAAUCGUCUGUAAGCAACAACGGUGAUAAGGUCAAGAAAAUUACAUUGACAAUGUGAUAUCAUUCCAAAACACAGUCCAGUCUCUAAAUGUAGAA